This 497-nucleotide ribosomal RNA is filed under the name uncultured bacterium. RNAcentral describes it as "partial 16S ribosomal RNA". It matches the Rfam family "Bacterial small subunit ribosomal RNA", at positions 28 to 507 of the family's 1533-position model. The record is from RNAcentral.
GAUGAACGCUGGCGGCGUGCCUAAUACAUGCAAGUCGAGCGAACGGACGAGAAGCUUGCUUUUCUGAUGUUAGCGGCGGACGGGUGAGUAACACGUGGAUAACCUACCUAUAAGACUGGGAUAACUUCGGGAAACCGGAGCUAAUACCGGAUAAUAUUUUGAACCGCAUGGUUCAAAAGUGAAAGACGGUCUUGCUGUCACUUAUAGAUGCAUCCGCGCUGCAUUAGCUAGUUGGUAAGGUAACGGCUUACCAAGGCAACGAUGCAUAGCCGACCUGAGAGGGUGAUCGGCCACACUGGAACUGAGACACGGUCCUGGCUCCUACGGGAGGCAGCAGUAGGGAAUCUUCCGCAAUGGGCGAAAGCCUGACGGAGCAACGCCGCGUGAGUGAUGAAGGUCUUCGGAUCGUAAAACUCUGUUAUUAGGGAAGAACAUAUGUGUAAGUAACUGUGCACAUCGUGACGGUACCUAAUCAGAAAGCCACGGCUAACUACGUG